Molecule: transfer RNA, 77 nt
Filed under: Planctomycetota bacterium
Lineage: Bacteria; Pseudomonadati; Planctomycetota
Description: tRNA-Met
Rfam family: tRNA
About the family: Transfer RNA (tRNA) molecules are approximately 80 nucleotides in length.
Source: RNAcentral
GUCGGGGUAGCGCAGAGACGUAGCUCGUCGGGCUCAUAACCCGGAGGUCGCAGGUUCGAAUCCUGCCCCCGCUACCA